RNAcentral lists this long non-coding RNA (3966 nucleotides) under Aquilegia coerulea. RNAcentral describes it as "long non-coding RNA (ACOE_LNC001968)". Lineage: Eukaryota; Viridiplantae; Streptophyta; Magnoliopsida; Ranunculales; Ranunculaceae. The record is from RNAcentral.
UCUUACAGUCCUCUUUGCCUGGGAAAACAACUUCAGCCAAACCAGUUAAUAUGUUUAAACCCUACAGUUAGCCAUUGAUUUCUAUCUAAUUAUAAAACAAAAGGUCUUAUAUUAAAAAUGCUGAUACCCUUUGUUCGUUGUUCUUUGUUUUCUCUUCACCAGGUGGGUAGCAGGAAAGGAUCCGGAAAUAAAAUAUGGUGAUAUCUUCCAUCUCUUCCAUUACUGUCAUUGUUCAGAAAGAGAUGGGAAAGUUGCGAAAACAAGAAGAGAAUUACAUCUCAAAGUGAUCUUGUUCCUUUCUUUUUAUUUUAUUUUUUAGCUUGUCAAUGCUAUGGGAAACAACCUGAAAGCAAAUUAAAAGGAAAAUAAACCUCUUAUGUUUUUCCAAUUAAAUUUCUUGUCAUGGAUGGUGGUAACAAUUGAAGUCUGUGGGUCUUUUGUACAGACUGAAUCCAUGCACUGCCUCUGGUUCAGAGAGUGCCCAUGCUACAACUUCUUUAUAUUAGUUUUGCUAAAUAUGAGAUAGUGCAAAAACAUAUAAAACUUCAAGUAUAUAGAUUGAAAACAGAAUCAUAUAUGAGCUCAUUAUUAAAGACAUAACCAAGACAGUAAACACAAACAAAGGAAGAAACUUCCAUUUAUGGUAAAUAUCAAGGAAGGCCAUGAUAAUCUCUCCAAGUGGUAGUGGUCCUUUUCAAGAACAGGGUGUCUCUGAGGCUCAAAGAUCUGGGAAGUCAAUUUUUGCAUAGAGUAGUUGUCAUGAACAGAUGUUACCCUGCAGCUAAAUGAGUAACUAGAGUAUUCCAAGAUGUGUUAUGAUGUACAUACCUAGUUUUCUUCCAGGAUAAGAAUAAAUUAGGGUAAAUUUGGUAAUCUGUCCCAUUCUGCCAUUGACUAAUAAAAUUCCUAUGAUGAGAUAUCCCUACUAAACUUUCAUUUUCUACCAAAAGCAGACUAAAAUGAUCACAGCUUUCUGAUAGGUACUCUACAAGAGGUAUGAUCCAAACAAUAGUGAAUUAUUAAUAUUUGUUAUGUUUUUUAUUUUUAUUUUCUGGAUCUAUUUUUAAUUUGAAAACUUUAUAUCUUGGAAAAGACUUGGGGGUGCAAAAAAGACAAAAACAACCAUGUCUCUGAGUGUCCAGACAAAGCUCCUUAGUCCUUCCUGGUACAGAAAGCUUAUUUUCAAGACAAAAGAAAGAUACAUGCUUACAUUAACUUUAAGAAAAAGAAAAAAAAAGGAUUAGAGAGAAUGAUUUAAUAGGGUUGAGUUAUGAGAGCAAUCAGAUCAGAGUGCAGAGAAGAGUAGGAAAUGCCAAAAAUAAUGUUGGAAUAUCUCAUAUCUAUCUAUAGAAACCUUUAAGCCCCAAGAUCCUGCCUGAGAUCUUCCUGACCCAAUAUAACAUGCCCAAUUUAAUAUAAUAUGAUCUCUCGGUCACAUUUGGAUGGAUCCUUGAUAUAAUAUUUUAUGGUUACACCUUAUUUCAGAUUUUGUUUUCUCCUCCUUCCUAGACUGUCUGCUUGGAAGCUGUCAUGGAUUGGUGUCAUGCACAAUUGUUUUCCUUGUUUUUUUUUUUAUCAAUUGUUUAAUAGAUUAAUAAUAUACAGUCAUUCCUUGUCUGCUGACAAACAAUGGUCCCAAAGAAAUAGAAAACAAUACAGGUAGUUUGUAAUGUUCACACUCUAGAUUUAGACUUUAUUUCUCCUUCAUUCUUUAAUAAUCGAAAAAUAAUUAUGAAAACAAACAAAAAAAGAGAGCCCAAAUACAUAAGGAAUGGAAGCCAAAAACUUAUACAAAGAAACAUACAGUGGUUUUGAUGGUAAAGCAGCUUCCCAUUCUCCACCAAGACCAUUCUUCAAACCUUGGAACAAGAAGAUAAGAGCAUGUUAUUAUCAUUAAUAUAAUUUAUACCCCUUUCUUCAUGCACUCUUAACUUAUUUUCACAAAUUUCAUGACACCGUAGUCACCUUGGAGAUCUACAAAAUAGUUUCUGGGUCCUUUUCCUUUCUUUUGACUGAGAUUUUACUUGUAUAUAACCUGCAACUAGCAUGUGCAUUGCUAAGUACAAAUGCACAUGCACACUCGUGUGCACCCACUGCCUAAUUCCUUGAGAUUCACCCCUUCAUCACACCAAUUCCUACAAACAGAAAGAAAUAAAUUACUUUUAGCAUAAUCAAAUCCUCUAGCCUUUAUUUGAAUAAACAAAUUUCAAUAAGCAUGAUCCACACACCAGGUAGGCAUGUUUAUACUUAAAAAUCAAAGCACUGGUUAGAUAGAAAAGUACGUAGUCCUCACAAACACAACUAAGAGUGGUCAGGAGCUGCAGACAGAGCCUGCAAUACAUAUUUAGCUUCCUGUACUAUUCAAAAAUAUAUGGUUCUCAUUGUAGUCAAUUGCUUAUCACUAUCUAAGUCAUCAAAAUAAUACAACUUACAUCUUUUCUUUUCAGCAGAAAAGUGCCAGCAUAAAAGCUAACCACCAAAAUGAUAUUUGAUACUGCAUCCAGUGGGGGCUGUAACCUUACAUACAUAAUGCCAUAAAACACACCACACCUUGUAACAGACAUUACAAUACACAUACGGCAUACAUCAACAUUAGUAGGACACCAAUAACUAAACACACGAGUUAAUUUGACUGUGAACUCUAAAACACAAAGAAUUAAGGCAAAUAAACGACUAAACAAGAUGAUAGGAUAAAGAAAGUGAUGGACAUAGGACCCCCAAAAGCAGGACUGGUUUGGAGGGAACUUCCUAAACAGACCUCAUCACAGAUAGCCAUAUCAUAACUAGAAAUACCAAGAUAACUAGACGAAACUGAAUGGAUAUUGUAAAGAAAUGGGUCAGAUUAAGGUUAAUGAAGGGAGGUAACACUCAAAAAGGUUAAUUUCCUUUUGUUCUACUGCACAUGGUUAUAAUAGUUAACUGCAGCAGAGUUCUUACUUGGAAAAUAUUUCGUUAAACAACAAAUAUAUACUAUAUCCACUAAAACACAAAUUGGGACACUUCAGAAGCUCGACAUACAUUACAAAGUCAAAAGCUCAACACACAGGAAUGGUAACGUGCAACUUCCUCGUACAAGACACAUGUUAUAAAUAAUGGUUUACUGCCUUUUAUUACUGUCUGGAAAGUUAUAAUCGGUAACUGCAGCAGAGCCCUUGUUUGAUGAUAACUUAGUUGAACAUGAAAACAUAUUUAUUCACUCCAAUAAAAUGUGAAGUGUAAACCUUACAGAGAUGGUGUAACUAUAGAUAGGAAUAAGCUGUGGUGGGCAUGCUCAAAUUUUCAUUGAUUAAAAUUCUCAUAUGCUAAUUGAGCAAUUUUGUAUGGUCAACUUCCUUUGCUUGGCUGUGUGCCUGUGUCGACAAUCAGAGUGGGACCUUCUAUCUCUUUGGUCAACCUUAACGUCUCUCGAGAUAAGAGGGCAGGGCAAUAUGGAGCACUAUCCUUCUUGCUUUAUUUUUAUCAGUAAAACAAAAUUCUAUGAAGAAGUGAUUAAGACACUCACCUUAAGGCAGCAAUUCAGCAAAUUACAAGACAUAAGUUUACAUUGCUCAGAAUGCUCUCCUAGUUAACAAUCAGCUCAUCAAGCCUAAUGCCCCCCCAUCACUGGCCAGCAGAACAUGCCUCUCCUCAAAUAUCCUCCUGUUCCUCUCCAUCCAGUGUUCCCAUACUGUUGCAUGGAACUAAACUUUCCAUACCAAAUUUCCUUCAACUGUGGGGUUGCUACACCUUCAUUGUCUCACCAGCUUAAUGAUGUCUCUUACCCAACCAUAUUGCUAUCAGAAUCACCAAAAAACCAACUCAGACAGCCAUGGAAAAACUACAUUCCAUCUCCAUUGUCUCAAAUGUUUUACUGGAACUGUAACUGUAAUAACUUUUAGUCUUGGUCGAGAAACGAGAAAAUAUAUGUAUCUAGUCUAAUAGAUGGAUAGCAGCUUGCUCAAUCCCCACACAUACACACCCUUCCAG